UACCAGCUCCUCGAGUGGUUGGGACGAUUAUUGGGUCUAAAGCGUCCGUAGCCGGCUGGAAAAGUUCUCCGUAAAAUCCAACGAUCCAAUCGUUGGAUCGCGGGGAAUACUCUCCGGCUUGGGGGCGGGGGAGGUCGGCGGUAGUCCCGGGGUAGGGGCGAAAACAUUUUUUUCGGAUCGUCCGGAAAAUUUUCGCAGUCUUAUAAUCCCGGGAGGACCACCAGUGGCGAAGGCGGCCGACUAAA
RNAcentral lists this ribosomal RNA (245 nucleotides) under uncultured archaeon. RNAcentral's name for it is "partial 16S ribosomal RNA". It matches the Rfam family "Archaeal small subunit ribosomal RNA", at positions 474 to 684 of the family's 1478-position model. The record is from RNAcentral.